RNAcentral lists this ribosomal RNA (253 nucleotides) under uncultured bacterium. Its description in RNAcentral is "partial 16S ribosomal RNA". It matches the Rfam family "Bacterial small subunit ribosomal RNA", at positions 524 to 776 of the family's 1533-position model. The record is from RNAcentral.
UACGUAGGGGGCAAGCGUUGUCCGGAAUUAUUGGGCGUAAAGAGCGUGUAGGCGGUCCGGUAAGUCAGCUGUGAAAGUCAAGGGCUCAACCCUUGAAUGCCGGUUGAUACUGUCGGGCUAGAGUCCGGAAGAGGCGAGUGGAAUUCCCGGUGUAGCGGUGAAAUGCGCAGAUAUCAGGAGGAACACCGAUGGCGAAGGCAGAUCUCUGGGCCGUAACUGACGCUGAGGAGCGAAAGCAUGGGGAGCGAACAGG